UACGAAGGGGGCUAGCGUUGCUCGGAAUCACUGGGCGUAAAGCGCACGUAGGCGGCUUCUUAAGUCAGGGGUGAAAUCCUGGAGCUCAACUCCAGAACUGCCUUUGAUACUGAAGAUCUUGAGUUCGGGAGAGGUGAGUGGAACUGCGAGUGUAGAGGCGAAAUUCGUAGAUAUUCGCAAGAACACCAGUGGCGAAGGCGGCUCACUGGCCCGAUACUGACGCUGAGGCACGAAAGCGUGGGGAGCAAACAGG
Molecule: ribosomal RNA, 253 nt
Filed under: uncultured bacterium
Lineage: Bacteria
Description: partial 16S ribosomal RNA
Rfam family: Bacterial small subunit ribosomal RNA
Source: RNAcentral